AGAGUUUGAUCAUGGCUCAGGAUGAACGCUGGCGGCGUGCCUAAUACAUGCAAGUCGAACGGAGAUUGUAGCAAUACGGUCUUAGUGGCGAACGGGUGAGUAACGCGUUGGUAACCUGCCCCGAAGCGUGGGAUAACGGUCCGAAAGGNNNNCUAAUACCACAUGUGAUCCCGAGGAAUAGAUACUUGGGAUGAAAGGAGCAAUUCGCUUCGGGAGGGACCUGCGUCCCAUCAGCUAGUUGGUAGGGUAACGGCCUACCAAGGCGAUGACGGGUAGGGGACCUGAGAGGGUGGCCCCCCACAAUGGAACUGAAACACGGUCCAUACACCUACGGGUGGCAGCAGUAGGGAAUAUUGGUUAAUGUGCGAAAGCGCGAACCAGCAACGCCGCGUGUGCGAUGAAGGCCUUCGGGUCGUAAAGCACUUUUUGCAGGGAAGAGGAAGGACGGUACCUGCAGAAUAAGUCUCGGCUAACUACGUGCCAGCAGCCGCGGUAAAACGUAGGAGACGAGCGUUAUCCGGAUUUACUGGGCGUAAAGCGCGUGCAGGCGGCAUGGCAAGUUGGAUGUGAAAGCUCCCGGCUUAACUGGGAGAGGUCGUUCAAUACUGCCAGGCUUGAGAGUGGUAGAGGGAAGCGGAAUUCCGGGUGUAGUGGUGAAAUGCGUAGAUAUCCGGAGGAACACCAGUGGCGAAAGCGGCUUCCUGGCCCAUUUCUGACGCUCAGACGCGAAAGCUAGGGUAGCAAACGGGAUUAGAGACCCCGGUAGUCCUAGCCGUAAACGAUGUGAACUUGGCGUUGGCGNGUUUAAAUCCGUCAGUGCCGCAGCUAACGCGAUAAGUUCACCGCCUGGGGACUACGGCCGCAAGGUUAAAACUCAAAGGAAUUGACGGGGGCCCGCACAAGCAGCGGAGCGUGUGGUUUAAUUCGAUGUUACACGAAGAACCUUACCAGGGUUUGACAUGUUGGUGGUAGUGAAGCGAAAGCGGAACGACUCUUCGGAGAGCCUGCACAGGUGCUGCAUGGCUGUCGUCAGCUCGUGUCGUGAGAUGUUCGGUUAAGUCCGCUAACGAGCGCAACCCCUGCCGUGUGUUACAAGUGUCACACGGGACUGCCGGUCUUAAGCCGGAGGAAGGUGGGGAUGACGUCAAAUCAUCAUGCCCCUUAUGUCUUGGGCUACACACGUGCUACAAUGGACGGUACAGACGGAAGCGAAGCCGCGAGGUGAAGCAAAUCCGAGAAAGCCGUUCUCAGUUCGGAUUGCAGGCUGCAACUCGCCUGCAUGAAGUCGGAAUCGCUAGUAAUCGCAGGUCAGCACACUGCGGUGAAUACGUUCCCGGGCCUUGUACACACCGCCCGUCACACCACGAAAGUUUGCAACACCCGAAGCCGGUGGNGUAACCGUAAGGAGCCAGCCGUCGAAGGUGGGGUAGAUGAUUGGGGUGAAGUCGUAACAAGGUAGCCGUAUCGGAAGGUGCGGCUGGAUCACCUCCUU
This 1492-nucleotide ribosomal RNA is filed under the name uncultured bacterium. RNAcentral's name for it is "bacterial SSU rRNA". It matches the Rfam family "Bacterial small subunit ribosomal RNA". The record is from RNAcentral.